This 325-nucleotide long non-coding RNA is filed under the name Manihot esculenta (cassava). RNAcentral's name for it is "long non-coding RNA (MESC_LNC009097)". Lineage: Eukaryota; Viridiplantae; Streptophyta; Magnoliopsida; Malpighiales; Euphorbiaceae. The record is from RNAcentral.
ACUCUGUAGAUUCUAUUGACUUCAAUUGUCGGACCUUCCUUAAUCCACCCAACUUUAACAUAUUCAGUGUAAGAUUUAUCUAGGCACUCUGUAGAUUCUAUUGACUUCAAUUAUCGGACCUUCCUUAAUCCACCCAACUUUGUAUGGCAAAGGGUGAGACUGCGUAGGCAACUGUAGCUUCUCCACCAAUUGCUUAGUUAUCAAAUUCUCACAACUGCAACUAUCAAUAAUUAACCUGCAAAUUGCUUCUCUCACUUGACUCUUCGCUUGAAAAAUCUUCCUUCUUUGCAUCUCAUCCUCCUGUUUUGUCGAGCAUAAAAUUUUC